GUGGAAAUGGCGCCGUUCUCAUGAGCGAGUAAAAUGUUUAUAGAUUUGUAUCAAAUUAACUUUUAUAUUGCCAUUAAAUAGAAGCAGUGGUACAUAAAUUAAUAUACUGAAAAGACAAUGUAGUAAGGCGGAAUUGAUGCUAACAAAAAACAAGAAAUCGGUGAGAAAUAUUUUAUAGAAGGUGAGAAUUUAUUUUAAUAUCGAUAUCCUGGGAUAACUCUGCUGUAAAUAUGUAGAAUAUUAACUAAAUACAUGGUAAAUAUAGUAAUGAUAUUUAUCAAUGCACUAUUGAAAUGCAUGUAUUCGCCUGUGUUAACUAGAACGUUUGAAUAUUUGGGAGCUUUGAGCACUGUGUUGUUAAGAAUUUAUUGAUCAAAAUAUAGAUGUGUUAUGUACUUGCCAAAAAUUUUUAUUUUAUAAUUUUUGUUUGAUGUUUAGGAAAUGUUUUACCUGUGGCAGAAAAUUUAAAUGGUGCCAUACAGGCAUAUACAGGGACAGUUGUCAAGAAAAUAUAUAAUUAAACAAGGUCAUAUUUGAAGAAUUUGAUGAAAGUGGUAUUUGUGAAUGACAAAGUUCAGGCAAGACAUAUUGGACAACAUGGAUGUACAUAAUUUUGCUGUUCAUUUAUUUCGUCAGUCAGGAACUGUCCGAACUGUAGUCUGCAUAGUGUCAUGUUUGUAUUAUAUCUUAAAAAUUAGUGUAUGCUUAUCACUUAAAACUAGCUUUAAAUCAAAAUUUUAAGUCAAAGUUUUGUCUUUUUAUUAGAAUUAAAAUCAUUCAUGAGAAAAAUGUGCCAAAGGGUUGAAAUUGCCCUUGUAAAUGUACACUAUUUUUGACAUGUUUGGGUGAUAGUAGUUUGAAAAGGUGUUCUGGAAGGAAAAUAUGUUUUGAACAAUACUAGUUGACCUUUAAAUUAUAUUAAACUAGUGUUAUGUAAAUCACAAAAGUUUGAAAAAAAUCUGGUCCAUACACAAUAUUUUGGAUUCUACAAGGUCCUGAAUGGGGCUUAUUUCAAUGUUGAAUCUGUUUACCUGGAAAAACAUAGAACAUUUAAUAAGUCGAGAAUUUGACUAUGCUCAUCACCCAAAACGAGGUUUUUCUAAUUGCUUUUUCACUAGGCUUUGUGGCAAUGCCAGUUAUCACUUAUGCAACCACAAAAAAUUUGUGCAGCACUUUUUUGUACACUGAAGAUCUGGCAACAUUUGAUGUCAUAUUAUUGCCAUCCUCUUUUCAUAGUAUAACUUAACUUAUUUUAGUGAGUUUGUUAAAGAGUUAUGCUUAAAAUAUACCUGUAGUAUCUAAGAUUUUUUCAUAGCAUUAGAUGAUAAAUUUAAGUUCUGUUUUCUUUUAUUUUUAGAUGAUAGUAUCUGUUCACAGUCUCGUUGGUAUUAAAUUUUGCACAAGAUUCAAUUUGUGUCGCAAAAUGUUAUGUAUUCUGUGUGUAAUGUCUAUUUGUCCUGUGUUAAAAAUAUUAUAUAUAUAUAGAAAACAUUAUUUGUAUCAUUAAACGUGAUACAGGACAUAAAAUUGCAUCGUCAUGGGAACACCUAAUGGGUCAUUCCAGAAAACAUCCAUACCACCCCCACAGAGGAAAUAGGAAGUUAACCCCCCUAUCCCCUUUGGAUGUCCUAAUACAGUUACUAUUAUCAGAAACAAUUUGUUCUCCCCUCCCCCUCCGGACGGCAGAAAUUUCCUCCAUGGGGGGAGUAUGGAUCUUUUCUGGAAUGACCCAUUAUCCCAUAUUAGAAUGCCACGGACAUGACUUGGGAUGGUGUGGUAGAUCAAAAUUGGAUUAUGAACCACAAAAAGGGAACAAAAUAGCAAUAAGCGUGUUCCAUUUACGUAAGGGAAAUUUGUGGUAGAAAAAAUAUGUAUUCCUGUUCUGUUCGUAUAAAUAUAGGCUAAAAAACUGUAGUGUAGGACAUAGGUUAUUGGUAUUGGUUAUUGGAUUAGUUAUUGGUUAUUGUUGAACAUGUUUUAAUAUGUGUGUGUGUGUUAGUUUGAAUUGCAAAUUGAGAUUUGAGAAUCGUGUUGGGUAAUUGUAACUUACAUCAUAGUAAAACGACGUGCACUAAACAAGUGUAAAUAUUGAAUCAUGAGCCAGCAACAGUGGCA
Molecule: non-coding RNA, 2115 nt
Organism: Paramuricea clavata
Lineage: Eukaryota; Metazoa; Cnidaria; Anthozoa; Malacalcyonacea; Plexauridae
Source: the annotation of a GenBank genome assembly